GCCGGAGGUCACUGCUAUCGGGAUUCGACUAAGCUAUGCGAGACGCGAGUCAUCUGGACUCGUCGAACUGCUCAGUAACACGUAGUUAACUUACCCUCAAGUGGAGGAUAAUCCUGGGAAACUGGGGCUAAUACUCCAUAGUUGUAUUGUGCUGGAAUGCUAUUACAACCAAAGCUCCGGCGCUUGAGGAUAGGACUGCGGCCUAUCAUGGCUGUUGUGAGUGUAAUGUACUCACAAACCUGUAACGGGUAGGGGUCAUGAAAGUGAGAGCCCCGAGAUGCUUUCUGAGACAUGAAAGCAGGUCCUACGGGACGCAGCAAGCGCGCAACCUUUCCAAUGGCUUAACGGUCGAGAAGGGAAUCCUGAGUGAUUAUACUAUGUAUAGUCUUUUGUUUUGUGUAAAAAGCAAGACGAAUAAGAGGUGGGUAAGACGGGUGGCAGCCGCCGCGGUAAUACCCGCGCCUCGAGUGGUGACCACUAUUAUUGGGUUUAAAGCGUCCGUAGCCGGUUUGGCAAGUUCUUGGUGAAAUCCAAUAGCUAACUAUUGGGCUUGCUGAGAAUACUACCAGACUUGAGAUUGGGAGAGGAUAGGGGUAUUCCAUGUGUAGGGGUUAAAUCCUUUAAUCCAUGGAGGACCACCGGUGGCGAAGGCGCCUAUCUGGAACAAGUCUGACGGUGAGGGACGAAAGCGUGGGGAGCAAAUGGGAUUAGAUAUAAAUCUUUCUAAUCCGCUGAUACCAAAGAUGAUUGGAGGGUUUACUAGAAACCCCAGUAGUCCACGCCGUAAACGAUGCCCGCUUGAUGUUGCAAACUUUACGAGAGUUUGCAGUGUCGGAGUGUAAAUGUUAAGCGGGCCACCUGGGGAGUACGGCCGCAAGGCUAAAACUUAAGGGAAUUGGCGGGAGAGCACACAAGGGGUGUGAGCUGCGGUUUAAUUGGAUUCAACGCCGGGAAACUCACGAGGGUUGACAGCAGAAUGAAGGUCAUCCUAACGGGGUUACCAGACAAGCUGAGAGGUGUUGCAUGGCCAUCGUCAGCUCGUACCUUGAGGCGUGCGGUUAAGUCCGUUAACGAGCGAGACCCACGCCACCAUUUGCUAUCAUAUUCUAGGCCUUCAAGGCUGAAGGUAUGAGCACUAUGGUGGGACCGCUGGUGAUAAACCAGAGGAAGGAGUGGGCGACGGUAGGUCAGUAUGGCCCGGAUAUCCUCGGCUACACGCGGCCCGCAAUGGCUAGGACAAAGCGCUGCAACUCCGAAAGGAGAAGCCAAUCGCCCAAACCUAGCCCAAGUUCAGAUUGUGGAUUGUAAUUCAUCCACAUGAAGCUGGAAUCCCUAGUAAGCGAAUGUCAUCAUCGUUCGCUGAAUAUGUCCCCGCUCUUUGCACACACUGCCUGUCAAGCCAUGCGAGUAGAGUUUUGAUGAGGCCAGCUUUAACUGUGUCGAAUCAGGGCUUUGCGAGUGGGGCUAAGUCGUAACAAGGUAGCC
Molecule: ribosomal RNA, 1485 nt
Filed under: uncultured archaeon
Lineage: Archaea
Description: bacterial SSU rRNA
Rfam family: Archaeal small subunit ribosomal RNA
Source: RNAcentral